This 504-nucleotide long non-coding RNA is filed under the name Mytilus galloprovincialis (Mediterranean mussel). Lineage: Eukaryota; Metazoa; Mollusca; Bivalvia; Mytilida; Mytilidae. The record is from RNAcentral.
AAGAAAAAAAGCAUCUUGUAAGAAGAUAAAAAUACAUGUAUCAAAACUAUAAAAACUGCUUGUGAUGGUGUAUUUAUUUAAUAUCAAUAAUAUAAUUUUAAUCUGUUUAAUAUAAACACCACCAAAAAAUCUAUACAGAAUGUAUAUAUCAAAUUAUUCUUAACUACUAUAGAAGGAGUGGACAGAUUAUUAUUGUUAUUUUAAUUAGAAUACUGUAGUGCCCAGUAUUACCUCAGGACAGUCCAAACACUGAUCCUGGUAUUCUAUUUAUAUUUAAUCAUGAAUCCACAGUAUAUCUAACCACAGGCUGGAGUGAUCUGUACAUAUUACAAAAAGACUUUACCACAUCAACUGUCAUUUUUCUAGCCUAAAAAAAAAUCCAUGGGUAGAAUGGCAAUAACACUUGGAAAUAAGCUGCCUGUAAUAUAUAUGUAGUAGUUAGCAGCCGAUCUAUAAACAUGAAAUAAUAACUGAUGAUAACUGACCUGCGGUUUGAAAGCUUCA